This 354-nucleotide ribosomal RNA is filed under the name uncultured prokaryote. RNAcentral describes it as "partial 16S ribosomal RNA". The record is from RNAcentral.
CCCUAUGGGGCGCACCAGGCCUCCGGGGGUAUCCAGCUUGAAAAUGACGAGUUCUCCCUUCUCUUUUUCCGCCCGGUCAAGCACAUCGGAGACGAAGUUCUCCAUGGCGAUGCCCACAGUGCCGUCGAGGGAAGCAGAAUAGACCGACCCCCGGGCCGGAAGAGGAAAGAAUCCAGCGAGAACGAGGAAAAGAACCAGCGAAACCAUUCCUGUUCCAAAAGAUCUCUUCUUCAUCUCAUCACCUCCUUCAAUGCAUCUUUGAGGGUCGCGGCCCGUACAGUCUCCAUUGGCGCGCCCUUCAGCUGAUUUUCUCUCGAGCUUAUGACAGCCCUGGUGAAUCCGAGGCGGGAGGGC